RNAcentral lists this ribosomal RNA (253 nucleotides) under uncultured bacterium. RNAcentral describes it as "partial 16S ribosomal RNA". It matches the Rfam family "Bacterial small subunit ribosomal RNA", at positions 524 to 776 of the family's 1533-position model. The record is from RNAcentral.
UACGAAGGAUGCGAGCGUUAUCCGGAUUUAUUGGGUUUAAAGGGAGCGUAGGCGGUCUUAUAAGUCAGUGGUGAAAUCUCGAUGCUUAACAUCGAACGUGCCAUUGAUACUGUAGGACUUGAGUACAGUAGCCGUUGGCGGAAUGUGUCAUGUAGCGGUGAAAUGCAUAGAUAUGACACAGAACACCGAUUGCGAAGGCAGCUGACGACACUGUAACUGACGCUGAGGCUCGAAAGCGUGGGGAUCAAACAGG